CUUUUUGUGCAUAAUGUAUAUAUAGGGGGGUGGUAGUACUCUUGGGGUAGAGAGGCAUGUGCUGGGAUGGCAUGCCAAGGCAUGUGCUGGGAUGGCAUGCCUUGGUGUGUGCUGGGAUGGCAUGCCAAGGACAAGCAUGUGCUAGGAAGGCAUGCCAAGGCCAAGGCCAAGGCAAGCACAUGCAUUGUGAGCGAGACGAGACGGUUACGAUUACCCCAAGAGUGCCCAAGGGAGAGGAAGGUGUCAAACGCAUGCUGAGCCCCACUUCGGUAGUUUGGCACCCCCAUAGGCAUUCAGGCAAGCGUGCCUAUGGGAGAAGUCGGUUGAGCUUGUCAGCCAUGUUGGGUAUUAUUGUCUGAACGAGAUGAUGGCACAAGGAUGCUUGCUUUAAGGUAACGUUCCGGCAGCACAGCCAGCCCGCAAUUGCUAGUUCAAGCGGGUGGAAUCUGCCAAUAGGGGUGUUGCUUGCUUGCUGUGAAUUUGGGACACGCCCAAUAUCUAUCAUCGACCCAACGAAGUGCUCAACAUGGGUUGCUGGGGGCUAUUUUGGCACUGACGGUUCACUUGUUUGCUUGGGUCUGAUAAACGUUUAGAUGUCAUGAUGCUUGGGAUCCAAUAAAUUUAUGUGGGAAGCUGAGAGCUGGAACCCAAUGUCAUUCACCAGACGGCUUAGCUUCGUCAGUGUGUAUAAUAUGUCAUUGAACCCCAAUCCUUGAUGCCAACCUGAUUAUGACUUUUGGAUCGCAAUUAUCAUGGCUAUCAAAAACUGAGUAGGAGUCAUGGAAUAAGUGAACAAUUUGUAGCCUUUAUAGCUGUCAGCUUUCGCAUCGCCCGGUGUGUUUUGGGAAUCGCUUUGUGCAUUUGGUUGCCUGCCGUGCCUCUUGGCAUAUGGUGGGUGCCAAUUGCUGGGUGGUUUUCGGAAACAUCCACCGUAAAGGUGCAUGAGUGGUGUUUGGUUUGUUACGGGUGGUUGGCUCUUUGCUUGCGCAACAACUGUCACCCGACUUACCUCUUCAGAUGUUUGCCUAGGCUUGUAUAGCCUAAGCAGAUUGUGGGUUUCCUGUGUUGCCUACCUACGUCAUGGAAUUGUCCCGAUCGAUCAAAGUUGCUUUCGUCUUGUGUCGUCUUGAUGGCAUAAGAUGAACCAUGUAGGUGUCUCUUUGCACCGCAUCGUUAAUGCAUGCGUUGAUGUUGUGGCCCAUUGAGCAUUGCUUGGUACCUUGGAUACGGAACCUUAUGUGGGCAUGGGGUCCUUGGGGAUCCUUGUUCUGCCCUCGUUUAGCGUUCGCGCUUCUCUAAGAAUGACUGCCUAGCCGGAAUGGAAACCCAUUGUGGAUGGGCAUCGUCAAAGAGGAAUGC
RNAcentral lists this unclassified non-coding RNA (1359 nucleotides) under Helianthus arizonensis. RNAcentral's name for it is "partial external transcribed spacer". The record is from RNAcentral. Lineage: Eukaryota; Viridiplantae; Streptophyta; Magnoliopsida; Asterales; Asteraceae.